This 482-nucleotide ribosomal RNA is filed under the name uncultured bacterium. RNAcentral's name for it is "partial 16S ribosomal RNA". It matches the Rfam family "Bacterial small subunit ribosomal RNA", at positions 30 to 507 of the family's 1533-position model. The record is from RNAcentral.
AUUGAACGCUGGCGGCAUGCUUUACACAUGCAAGUCGAACGGUAACAGGCCGCAAGGUGCUGACGAGUGGCGAACGGGUGCGUAAUGCAUCGGAACGUGCCCAGUCGUGGGGGAUAACUACUCGAAAGAGUAGCUAAUACCGCAUACGAUCUAUGGAUGAAAGCGGGGGACCGUAAGGCCUCGCGCGAUUGGAGCGGCCGAUGUCAGAUUAGGUAGUUGGUGGGGUAAAGGCUCACCAAGCCAACGAUCUGUAGCUGGUCUGAGAGGACGACCAGCCACACUGGGACUGAGACACGGCCCAGACUCCUACGGGAGGCAGCAGUGGGGAAUUUUGGACAAUGGGCGCAAGCCUGAUCCAGCAAUGCCGCGUGCAGGAAGAAGGCCUUCGGGUUGUAAACUGCUUUUGUACGGAAAGAAACGGCUCUGGUUAAUACCCGGGGCUAAUGACGGUACCGUAAGAAUAAGCACCGGCUAACUACGUG